Molecule: ribosomal RNA, 465 nt
Filed under: Vreelandella stevensii
Lineage: Bacteria; Pseudomonadati; Pseudomonadota; Gammaproteobacteria; Oceanospirillales; Halomonadaceae
Description: partial 16S ribosomal RNA
Rfam family: Bacterial small subunit ribosomal RNA
Source: RNAcentral
CCUACGGGUGGCAGCAGUGGGGAAUAUUGGACAAUGGGGGCAACCCUGAUCCAGCCAUGCCGCGUGUGUGAAGAAGGCCCUCGGGUUGUAAAGCACUUUCAGUGAGGAAGAACGCCUGGUGGUUAAUACCCAUCAGGAAAGACAUCACUCACAGAAGAAGCACCGGCUAACUCCGUGCCAGCAGCCGCGGUAAUACGGAGGGUGCGAGCGUUAAUCGGAAUUACUGGGCGUAAAGCGCGCGUAGGUGGCUUGAUAAGCCAGUUGUGAAAGCCCCGGGCUCAACCUGGGAACGGCAUCCGGAACUGUCAAGCUAGAGUGCAGGAGAGGAAGGUAGAAUUCCCGGUGUAGCGGUGAAAUGCGUAGAGAUCGGGAGGAAUACCAGUGGCGAAGGCGGCCUUCUGGACUGACACUGACACUGAGGUGCGAAAGCGUGGGUAGCAAACAGGAUUAGAUACCCGAGUAGUC